CACUUUUCGCCUGUUCACUAGGGUUCUUCUCCAUUGAUGCCAUCCCCUACUGUUGUUGUUGCAAAUGCAAAAGCCAAAGAGUUAAGUUGCAUGUGUCUUGUAAGCAUCAAAUAUAAUCGUCUUGGCUGCCUAAUUUUCGUCUUAUGCUAUUCGAUAUCAAGCGGCUCUACCGUCUCUAGUAAUUUUCGACAUAUUUCAGCAGCAGCAACAACAGAGAGGGAGAGGGACAGUG
RNAcentral lists this long non-coding RNA (232 nucleotides) under Gossypium barbadense (sea-island cotton). RNAcentral's name for it is "long non-coding RNA (GBAR_LNC015504)". The record is from RNAcentral. Lineage: Eukaryota; Viridiplantae; Streptophyta; Magnoliopsida; Malvales; Malvaceae.